ACCUUUGCAGUAUUAACUGCUGUCCCAAAAGAUCACAGAUCAGCCCAUAAGAUAUGCAGCAAGAUAUGCAAAUAUGGCCUUCCUCUGCUCAUGAAAACCAGCCCUGUCCUGACCCUGCAGGUCAGGCAGAGGACUCUAGCCCUGUCUUCCCAUUUGGAGAUCAGCACUGAAAACAGAACAAUCAACAUGGGGUUGGGGCUGAACUGUGUCAUUUUGGUUGUUCUUUUAAAAGGUGCCCAUUGUGAGGUUCAGCUCGUUGAGUCUGGGGGAGGAUUGGUGCAGCCUAAGGGGUCAUUGAAGCUCUCCUGUGCAACCUCUGGAUUCACCUUCACUAGCGCUGCCAUACACUGGGUCCGCCAGGCUCCUGGGAAGGGGCUUGAGUGGGUUGCUCGCAUAAGCAGUCAAAGUAAUAAUUACGCAACAAAUUAUGCUGAUUCAGUGAAGGACAGAUUCAUCAUCUCCAGAGAUAAUUCCAAAAGCACAGCCUACCUGCAGAUGAACAAUCUUAAAACUGAG
Molecule: non-coding RNA, 516 nt
Organism: Alexandromys fortis (reed vole)
Lineage: Eukaryota; Metazoa; Chordata; Mammalia; Rodentia; Cricetidae
Source: the annotation of a RefSeq genome assembly